AAGACGAGGGUGGUCGGAAGCCGGCUAAUUUAAGCGGCUCGCUAGAAAUGUUUUCUCGAGCUAUAUGGAAAGACCUACUCCAGGAGAGAGAGAAAAAAGUGGAAAGCUUGGCUGCAAUAGGUAGAGAAAAGAGGUUUGCGAUGUGAAAUUCACAUAAAGACAUGAAACUUUAUGGUUGGACACAUUGCAACUGCUGCAAAAUUAGAUGAUGUGGAUCAAUAAAUUGUUGUUAAUUACUAAAUUCUUUGGAUCUCUAUCCCCAAGAAGAUAAAGCAUACACAGAUUUUGAAUGCAUUUUACUUAUUAUGAAGUACCUAACAGUUUUUCAUACUCUCUGCCUGAAAUGCAGGUUGUUAGUUGAUAUUGCAAAAAUGAGGCAAAAAAAAAAGGAGGCAGAAAUGGUUUUUUGAGGCUCGGAUAUUGAAGUGGUGGUGGUGGUGGUGGUGGUGGUGAUGGAGAAGAUGGAGUUGUAGAAGUUGAAUAAAAUGAUAUAACUUAAGGUUUUGACUAGUGUUUUGUCACUUUUUUUUUUUUUUUAAAUUUUUGUUGCUUUUUUAGUGUUUAUCAAUUUUCAUUUUUUUAAUGGAACAUGAUACUUUUUUAAAUAUGUUCGUGUUUGCGUUCAUUUUUCCUCUAUUUUGUGUGUAUAGUUUUUUGUACUUAGGCUUUGGUCUAGUGGUAGUAAUAGUGUUGGCGACGAAGAAAGCGGAGGAAUAGAGUUUCAUUGUACCUACUGUAUAUAAUGUCCUUGCAAAUGAUAGUGGCCAGUCUUAAGGCUUAUGACUAUCAUUUUAAGGACCAUAAGAUACUUUCUACCUUGACUACAAUACUCUAGGAAACCACCUACUAGAGUUAGAAGUUCAAUUCACAUGGUGAUUUAGCAUGUGUUACCAUCUAUUGUAGUAGUUGCUGCUGAUAGUUGAAUUUUCCUCCAUUUGCUUUCUUAAUUCUUAAGAUGUAUUCUUGGUAAUUUUAUC
Molecule: long non-coding RNA, 977 nt
Organism: Olea europaea var. sylvestris
Lineage: Eukaryota; Viridiplantae; Streptophyta; Magnoliopsida; Lamiales; Oleaceae
Exons: 2
Source: RefSeq, a predicted model, not a curated record